ACCCUUAAAGUUGAAAUCCAAUAUUAGAUUGCAAAUCUAAAGAUAAUAAGGGUA
This 54-nucleotide transfer RNA is filed under the name Lardoglyphus konoi. Its description in RNAcentral is "tRNA-Cys". Lineage: Eukaryota; Metazoa; Arthropoda; Arachnida; Sarcoptiformes; Lardoglyphidae. The record is from RNAcentral.